GACGAACGCUGGCGGCGUGCUUAACACAUGCAAGUCGAACGGAAAGGCCUCUUUCGGGGGUACUCGAGUGGCGAACGGGUGAGUAACACGUGAGUAACCUGCCCUUGACUUUGGGAUAACUUCAGGAAACUGGGGCUAAUACCGGAUAGGAGCUCCUGCUGCAUGGUGGGGGUUGGAAAGUUUCGGCGGUUGGGGAUGGACUCGCGGCUUAUCAGCUUGUUGGUGGGGUAGUGGCUUACCAAGGCUUUGACGGGUAGCCGGCCUGAGAGGGUGACCGGCCACAUUGGGACUGAGAUACGGCCCAGUCUCCUACGGGAGGCAGCAGUGGGGAAUAUUGCACAAUGGGUGGAAGCCUGAUGCAGCAACGCCGUGUGCGGGAUGACGGCCUUCGGGUUGUAAACCGCUUUCGCUCAUGACGAAGCUUUGUGUGACGGUAGUGGGUAAAGAAGCACCGGCUAACUACGUG
Molecule: ribosomal RNA, 466 nt
Filed under: uncultured bacterium
Lineage: Bacteria
Description: partial 16S ribosomal RNA
Rfam family: Bacterial small subunit ribosomal RNA
Source: RNAcentral